Malus domestica (apple) is the source of this 661-nucleotide non-coding RNA. NCBI's taxonomy places the organism in Eukaryota, Viridiplantae, Streptophyta, Magnoliopsida, Rosales, Rosaceae. The record is from RefSeq and is a predicted model, not a curated record.
UUCCAAAAUAAGACCUUUUUUUUCAGUUUACCAAACACCUAAAAACCUCACAGCUUUUUUUCAUGGGUACUUUUCUUUUAAGCACCUCACUCCCAAACCACCCCUAAGAAAUGAGUUUUCGCUCUCUUUUGCUUGGAAUGAUUUAACCCCGUGAACUUGAAUUGGAUCACUCUUUGGUCAAAUGCUUAUUAAGUCUUUGUUCCGCAUGUGGACCGUCAUAGAAGAGUUCCUACCGUCAAAUUAUAACUAAGACUGCAACAGCUAUUGCUCCACCAUCAUUUCUAAAAAAAUAGGACCUGGUCUGCCAACAGUUUUAACUGCGUAAGUCAUUUUAUUUAACUUUCGGUAAGUCCUUUUAUUGUUCUGAUCUUUAGCAAGAGGAUCCUUUAACAAAUCCAACUAUUUUAACAAAUCCAACUGUCAUUUGUUCAUAUUAACUUCUAUUUUUCCAAUUUCUAACAGAUAAAUGAAAACACGUACUACCAGAAGAAAGGAGGAACAAAGUGAAGAAACAAACCCAUUAGAUUAAAUAAGUUCAACACUAUUCAUUGUUUCUUAUUCUAGAUAGGGUUGUAAAUAGAUUUAUAUAAGCACUAUGACUUAUAAUUUAUAUUUACAACUUUCUACAUGUUUUAUACAAUUUCAAAACCCGCAGCACCGC